Molecule: ribosomal RNA, 253 nt
Filed under: uncultured bacterium
Lineage: Bacteria
Description: partial 16S ribosomal RNA
Rfam family: Bacterial small subunit ribosomal RNA
Source: RNAcentral
UACAGAGGUCCCGAGCGUUGUUCGGAUUCAUUGGGCGUAAAGGGUGCGUAGGCGGCGGGGUAAGUUUGAUGUGAAAUCCCGGGGCUCAACCCUGGAAUUGCAUUGAAUACUACCUUGCUAGAGUACCGGAGAGGAAACUGGAAUUUACGGUGUAGCAGUGAAAUGCGUAGAGAUCGUAAGGAAGACCAGUGGCGAAGGCGAGUUUCUGGACGGUAACUGACGCUGAGGCACAAAGGCCAGGGGAGCAAACGGG